This 532-nucleotide ribosomal RNA is filed under the name Acinetobacter sp. UST050418-267. RNAcentral describes it as "bacterial SSU rRNA". It matches the Rfam family "Bacterial small subunit ribosomal RNA", at positions 65 to 587 of the family's 1533-position model. The record is from RNAcentral. Lineage: Bacteria; Pseudomonadati; Pseudomonadota; Gammaproteobacteria; Moraxellales; Moraxellaceae.
AGCGGGGAAAUGUAGCUUGCUACAUUACCUUAGNCGGCGGACGGGUGAGUAAUGCUUAGGAAUCUGCCUAUUAGUGGGGGACAACAUCUCGAAAGGGAUGCUAAUACCGCAUACGUCCUACGGGAGAAAGCAGGGGAUCUUCGGACCUUGCGCUAAUAGAUGAGCCUAAGUCGGAUUAGCUAGUUGGUGGGGUAAAGGCCUACCAAGGCGACGAUCUGUAGCGGGUCUGAGAGGAUGAUCCGCCACACUGGGACUGAGACACGGCCAGACUCCUACGGGAGGCAGCAGUGGGGAAUAUUGGACAAUGGGGGGAACCCUGAUCCAGCCAUGCCGCGUGUGUGAAGAAGGCCUUUUCGGUCUGUAAAGCACUUUAAGCGAGGAGGAGGCUACUCUAGUUAAUACCUAGGGAUAGUGGACGUUACUCGCAGAAUAACGCACCGGCUAACUCUGUGCCAGCAGCCGCGGUAAUACAGAGGGUGCAAGCGUUAAUCGGAUUUACUGGGCGUAAAGCGCGCGUAGGUGGCCCAAUUAA